RNAcentral lists this ribosomal RNA (1260 nucleotides) under metagenome. RNAcentral describes it as "SSU rRNA". It matches the Rfam family "Eukaryotic small subunit ribosomal RNA", at positions 603 to 1823 of the family's 1831-position model. The record is from RNAcentral.
AUUAAAGUUGUUGCGGUUAAAAAGCUCGUAGUUGGACUUGAGGGAUUUAUAUAAAAGGAUUCUUGUUUUAAAGCAAGAUAUCUUUAUAUGUUUUUUCCUUUCUUUUUAUUUUCUUUUAGGAGGAGUGGAGGCAACGAAGCUUCUCUGUGGGAAUAGAUAGUUUACUUUGAAAAAAUUAGAGUGUUUAAAGCAGACAUGACAUGUACAAUUGAAUAUUACAGCAUGGGAUAAUAGAAUAGGACAUUAACCUUAAUUUUGUUGGUUUUGAAGGUUAAUAGUAAUGAUUAAAAGGGAUAGUUGGGGUCACUUGUAUUUGAUCGCUAGGGGUGAAAUCCUAUGAUUGCUCAAAGACAAACUACUGCGAAAGCAUUUGACAAGGAUGUUUUCAUUGAUCAAGAACGAAAGUUAGGGGAUCGAAGAUGAUUAGAUACCGUCGUAGUCUUAACCAUAAGCAAUGUCGACUUUGGAUUAGGAAAUAUUACAUGGAUGAUUUUCCUAGCACAAUAUGAGAAAUCAUAAGUAUUCAGACUCCGGGGGGAGUAUGGUCGCAAGAGUGAAACUUAAAGGAAUUGACGGAAGGGCACCACCAGGAGUGGAACCUGCGGCUUAAUUUGACACAACACGGGGAAACUUACCGGGUCCGGACACUUUGAGGAUUGACAGAUUGAUAGCUCUUUCUUGAUUAAGUGGGUGGUGGUGCAUGGCCGUUUUUAGUUGGUGGAUUGAUUUGUUUGGUUAAUUCCGAAAACGAACGAGACCUUAACCUAUUAAAUAGUAUAAUUAAAAUUGAAUACAAAUUCUUGAAAUUUGAAAAAAAGAAAUGGAUACUUCUUAAAGGGACUCUUCAUAUUUUAGUGAAUGGAAGUUUAAGGCAAAAACAGGUCUGUGAUGCCCUUAGAUGUUCCGGGCUGCACGCGCGUUACACUGAUGCGAUCAAAAAGUUUAAUUUAAAUUUCCUUAUUUGAAAAGAUUGGGUAAACUCAGAAAUCGUAUCGUGAUUGGGAUAGUGCUUUGUAAUUAUCGCACUUGAACGAGGAAUUCCUAGUAGGUGCAAGUCAUCAUCUUGCUCCGAUUACGUCCCCGCCCUUUGUACACACCGCCCGUCGCUCCUACCGAUUGAAUAAUCCGAUGAGGAUUCAAGAUAGAGAUUUCUUAUUUGUCUGAAAGGAUAAAAAAGAAUUUUUUUAGAAUUUGUUCAAAUCUUAUUAUUUAGAGGAAGGAGAAGUCGUAACAAGGUUUCCGUUGGUGAACCAGCGGAAG